UCCCCAACACUGAUUACUUAACGAUUUGUUUACUAAAAUUAUGACUGCCAAUAAUCCAGGUAAGUCAAUGAUUUAGAGUUGUUUAUGACAAAAUAUUCUCGUUUGUCGCCACUUACUGGUUUAACGUUAUGUGUGAGUCUAUUCAUUCCUAUAAAUCUAACAUACUUUUUAUUUUCAGCAGCUGAGGAGAGACAGUCAUGAUGCCAUGACAAUAAUUGAUGAUUAAAAGCAGGGAUAAUCUCCAGGUGGACUGCACGGGUCCAGGAUCUAGAGAUCAUUCAUCAUGAGGACUAUGUUCCAGGAGAAGCAGCAUAUCCUGGGUGAAAAACUAUGCCUUAAUUUUUCCAAUAUCACUUAGGUAAGACUAAAUGUAUUUAAAUUGAUUUCAAUCAUGGGUCAUUUGUUUCAGGUCUACUUGAUCAUUUUGUUGGCCUGGAUGUGAGAACAUGGUCAAAAGGUGUGUCAAUCAGCAUCCAGCCAUAAAAGAUGCCUUCUCGUUAAAAGGCUCAGAAGGACAAACAGCUGCCAGAGGAGGAUGAUGAUGAUGAUGGCAGUGGUGACCGAGAUGAAGAGGAGGAGGAACAUUUUGCAAAAAUCCAAAGUGAUCCUUGCCUCAGAAGAGCCUGAGAAAGACACACUUCCUCUUCUCUCACAGCUCUCCAUCAUCUUCCUCCUCAACACUGUUGGAAAGAGUGUUCUACACAGCUGAGGACACGGUAAUGAGAGAUCUCAAAUUCUUCCUGAGAAAGUCCACAUGUUAAUUUUCUUGAACAAAAACUGUACAUGUAUUUUUGGGUGGGCCAAACUAUUAUUUGAAGAAAUGCUAAAAAUCUCUAUAUUGCUCUUUAUACAUAUCUUUUACUCUUUAUGAAUGUCAUCUUCUAGAUUUUUUUUAUCUUUUGGGAAGCUCAAGGACUGUAUAUCUUUGGUAAUUGUGAUAUCGUCUGGUAAAAGUUCUAGUAAAGCAGUAUUAAAGCACAUUACCUCAGUAUAUAUUACUCAUACAGGACACUUAGGAAAUGGUUUAAAACAUUUUUUUGCAAAUAAAGUAAUAAAAUAUCUGCUGAAUCUUUUUUCACAUAUUUGUCAUUUUUGUGCUAAAUUUUGGAGAGUAGUAAUCAUAAGAGUAUAAAUAUAAUUGAUAAAAUCAUUAUUUAACUAUACCCAUCUCUCUAAUGAUGAAACACUUUUUCAAUAAAAAGAAUAAAACAUUAAUCAUUUGGUUACAUUUAUUUAUUGAUUGUAUUGUUUGGUCUAUGAAUGUGUUUGAUUUAUGAAUUCAUGUGUUCAAUUUUCUGUACUCAUAACUUAAUAACACUUGGUUGCAUGGUAAUGUUAAUGUAUUGGCUUAUUGUACAAAGUAACAAUGCUGAUGAUUUCAUGGAUGCAGUGUGUUUCUAGCCAUUUUCUAUCAUAAUUUAAUGAGGGCAUCUAUUGGUUUCCAUUACAUAUUUUGAUCUGCAAAUGUAUUAACCAAACCAAUACAAUUCCUUAUAACAAUUAGAAUUUAUAAUGUUUUAUAGCAGAGAAUUAAGUGUUCAGUUCUGCAUGGAUUCUGUGCAUGGAACACAGAAUGUUCGUUAACUUUGGAUGGUAUAAUGGCAUGUUGUCCAAUGUCCAUUAUCCCUUUAUGUUGUACCUGUUUUGUCAUUCCUGUUCACCAAAUGUUUUUAAAUAAAUAACUGUUAACAAUU
Megalobrama amblycephala (Wuchang bream) is the source of this 1694-nucleotide long non-coding RNA. RefSeq lists it as uncharacterized. The record is from RefSeq and is a predicted model, not a curated record. The transcript is spliced from 4 exons. Lineage: Eukaryota; Metazoa; Chordata; Actinopteri; Cypriniformes; Xenocyprididae.